RNAcentral lists this unclassified non-coding RNA (293 nucleotides) under Hevea brasiliensis (rubber tree). The record is from RNAcentral. Lineage: Eukaryota; Viridiplantae; Streptophyta; Magnoliopsida; Malpighiales; Euphorbiaceae.
GAAAAAGAAAAGAGGAGAAACAAUGAAAAUUAGAUUUCCUCAUUUCUCUCCAAAACUUAUAAAAAUUUCUCUCCAAUUCGAAUUGUAAAGGAGGAGAAGAAAGUGAAAAAAAAAUUAUAAAGGUUGAAAUUGUGAAUGGGCCCUUACACCAUUCUUUUCUUUUUUAUCCACUUCCUCACAUAAGGUUACCAAACAAUAUAAUGUAAAUUAAUUUCUCUUCUUUUUCUCUAUUUAAUUUGUUGUAAUUUCCAUUGCACAAUUAAGGAAAACAAAGGCUCAUAACCCAACAAAAC